ACUGCAUAAUUUGUGGUAGUGGGGGACUG
RNAcentral lists this non-coding RNA (29 nucleotides) under Gallus gallus (chicken). Lineage: Eukaryota; Metazoa; Chordata; Aves; Galliformes; Phasianidae. The record is from RNAcentral. RNAcentral also lists the same sequence under 4 other names.